Molecule: ribosomal RNA, 500 nt
Filed under: uncultured bacterium
Lineage: Bacteria
Description: partial 16S ribosomal RNA
Rfam family: Bacterial small subunit ribosomal RNA
Source: RNAcentral
AUUGAACGCUGGCGGAAUGCUUCACACAUGCAAGUCGAACGGCAGCACGGACUUCGGUCUGGUGGCGAGUGGCGAACGGGUGAGUAAUGUAUCGGAAUGUGCCCAGUCGUGGGGGAUAACGUAGUGAAAAUUACGCUAAUACCGCAUACGAUCUAUGGAUGAAAGCGGGGGAUCGCAAGACCUCGCGCGAUUGGAGCGGCCGAUAUCAGAUUAGGUAGUUGGUGGGGUAAAGGCCCACCAAGCCAACGAUCUGUAGCUGGUCUGAGAGGACGACCAGCCACACUGGAACUGAGACACGGUCCAGACUCCUACGGGAGGCAGCAGUGGGGAAUUUUGGACAAUGGGCGAAAGCCUGAUCCAGCCAUUCCGCGUGCAGGAUGAAGGCCCUCGGGUUGUAAACUGCUUUUGUACAGAACGAAAAGGUUUCUACUAAUACCAGGAGCUCAUGGCGGUACUGUAAGAAUAAGCACCGGCUAACUACGUGCCAGCAGCCGCCGUAA